This 2959-nucleotide long non-coding RNA is filed under the name Nicotiana benthamiana. RNAcentral's name for it is "long non-coding RNA (NBEN_LNC016285)". Lineage: Eukaryota; Viridiplantae; Streptophyta; Magnoliopsida; Solanales; Solanaceae. The record is from RNAcentral.
UGGAAUGACUACUUUUUGAUUAUCUGUUCUUCUUCUCCUUCUUUGUUGUUCUUUGUUCUAAUCUGCAGCAAGCUCCUUACAAGAGUGUCCUAUCUUCAAGCACUUUUCACAAAAUUCUGGUUUCCAGUCAUAGGAAAUUUCUCGCUCAUAAUCCUCCAUCCGGUUCCCUUACAGCAACACUAGUAGGCAGUGCCCUUGUAACAUUGACCUCAAUUAGCAUUCUAGCAUAGUAUAUUCUCCUUUGCUUAGAUGUGCAUUCAUCUGCAUACAGUGGCUUGCCAAUUGAACUGGAAAUUUUGCUUAAUGACUGAGCUCCCUAACAACUCAUAGGCAGGUUAGGCAACACUGCUCAAAAAGGAGUCAGAAAUUCCUUAUUGAUAUCACACUUAGCAUACCAGGGUUUCAAAAUCAAUGGUUUGUUGUUCAUUGUAUACGGUCCAGAGUAUAAAAUCUCAUUCAUAUCAGUCAUACUGUUAAAUCUAACCACAUAAUAGCCCUCAUCAUGGUAGAAAACAUCUGGCUCAGCUACUUGAUUCCAGUUCUGUUUUACAUACCUAUGCAUGUAAUUAUAUCUAGGAGUUUCCCCAAUUACAUACACGAUUAAGGCACUUCUCCACUUCAGUACUUCCUUUUAUACAUCUUAAUUUUUGAAUUGGACAACUGUUUUCCCCUCUAUAAUCGCACAGGGAAAAUAAUUCAGCUUCAAUCCAUUCUCAGAACUUCUAUUUCCUGCAACCAAAGAGGUCCACUGAGUUUUCUCACCUUUGUCAUCCAUUUCAGCUACUCGAUCCGCAGUUGAUUUGCUUGUGCUUGCUAGAUCUGGUAGAUCUGGUACCUUCUCACUCAGCUACACACUUAGCUUUGGAUCAACACUUAAUUCCUUCCCCUUACCAUUGUUUUGUACUGUUUUCUAUGUUGCAUGCAGCUCUUCGAUCAAUGGAACAAUGAUUUCUGGAUUCUCGACCGCUUGUGCUUCAUCUUCAGCUAGUAUUCCUCCUCCUUUGGUCUCCCUCGAGGUCUUCCCCUUCCCCUGACCAUUUCCACAGUGGACGCGCCGUUAGCCUAACGUGCGCCGAUGGCUCGUGGUUAGAAAGAGAAACAAGAGAGAUGUUAGAGCUAAUAUAUUUUUUAAUGCAAAAUGCUACGUUCUUCUCUCUCUCUCUCUCUCUCUCUAUAUAUAUAUAUAUAUAUAUAUAUAUAUUACAGUAUUUUCAGCACCAUCGAGCUAUAACUAGUAGGCAUGCUUUAUUGGAUAACCUCUAAUCAGGUGGUAAGUUAUAUACCGGGCAUACUAUGGUCGAACGCCUAUGAGCGAGCCUACUACGGCAGAAAAGUUACACAUACCAAGCCUUAUAGGGCCUAACAGUUAUUUUACUUACUAUAUUGAGAUAGAUGAGUUAGUAUCAACAGGUAAGCAUAUCUUCAAUUAUAUUUGAAUCCCAGGUACUUUUAGUUAUUAUAUUAUCAGUUCAAUUCCAGUUUUUAGUUAUUUUGUUGCCUUACAUACUCAGUAUUGAUGUCCUUUUUGUUGGGGACCUGCAUUUCAUGCCUGCAGGUCCUGAUAGACAGCUGGACAGACCUUCUGAGUAGACAAAGUCAAAUACCAGCUUGGUUGGUAAGACCCACUUUCUCGAAGUUACCAGGUCUAUACCUUAGAGUCAAUUUUAUAUAUAUAGGUUUGAUAGGUAGAUUGAGGCCCUGUCCCGGCCAUGAUACAGUUAUGUUAUCCCAGAGGCUUUUAGACGAGUCAUGUACAUUUUUUAUAUCAGUAUUAUGGCUUUACCAAGCUAUGUAGAUUUUUAGUUUGUUAUUGCUGGUUGCAGACGUUAUUUUCAGAUGAUUCAGAAUAUGGCCUCAUCGGCCUAAGUUGAGGGUUACUCCUUCAUAGUUUACAGUUACAGAGUGGUAUGCUCGUGCCUAGUAUGGCACCAGGUUCUUUAGGUUUGAGGCACGACAAUUCUAUGCUCUUAUUAUUUAACUUUUCAUGGUAUUUGGUUUGGGUUCGGGAAUAUUUCAGAAUGAGUUAAGAUACUUAGUUUAAAGGUUAGAAGCUUAUGUUGAAAAGGUUGAGUGGAUGUUGGCAUACAUGUAAAUGGCUCCAGAAUGGAGUUUUGACGGUCCAGAUAGCUAUGUAGGGUGAUUUUGGACUUAGGAGUGUGUUUGGAUAGUUAUAUGAAGGUCCAUAGUUAUUUUGGCAUGAAAUGGUGAAAAUUGGAAAAUUAGAAGUUUUGAAAAUUGAGAUGUUUGAUCGAGAGUUGACUUUGUGGUUAUCGGGCUUAGAUUUUGGUUUAAAAAUUUUAAAUAGGUCGGUUUUGUCAUUUAUGAUUUGUGUGAAAAAUUUGAGGUCAAUCAGACUUGAUUUAAUAAGUUUCGGCAUAGUAUGUAGACGUUAAAAAUGCAUACGUUCAUUAAGUUUGAAUUGACGCGUGAUUCAUGUUUUUUAUUUCAUUUGAUGUGAUUUAAGGCCUCGCCUAAGUUUGUAUGAUGGCUUAGGACUUGUUAAUAUGUUUAGUUGAGGUCCCGGGGGCCUCGUGUGGAUUCAGAUGGUUAAUAGAGUGAAAUGGGACUUAGAAGAUUGCUAAAGCCUGCUGGUGUUGUGUGUUCUGCCUUCCUUCUACACAAUCACGUGGAAAGGUCAGUGUUUGCGUAGGCUUAUUUUGGCAGCUAAGGUUUUUGUUCUAUGCAUUCCCGAGGUGAGGGCUAAGAUCGUGUGGUUAGUGAGGUUGUGAAUCGCGAACGCGUGGCUGAGGCCGUCUUCGCAAGAGGGAAAGGCAAGGCUGGGGGUUCACGCGCAUGUGUUCAUCGCAAAUGCAUGAUGUUGUUCGUGAUCGCGAAGGUCUGAAGUUCCGUGCAUCGCGUUCGCAUGGUGUUUUUCGCAUUCACGUAGGGUGAACUUAUGGGCAGCAUAAAUUGUGCUUCGCUUCGCGAAGCAUUUUCAGCGAUCAUAAUUAAGGACUUC